RNAcentral lists this non-coding RNA (26 nucleotides) under Homo sapiens (human). Lineage: Eukaryota; Metazoa; Chordata; Mammalia; Primates; Hominidae. The record is from RNAcentral.
UGCGCUCUUCCAGAUGCCCGUGUCGC